CAAGUGGAAAACAGGGGAUGCAGGGACUGAAGCAGGUCAACAUGAAGCAAACCUGAGUUUGUUAUGUGAGUUAGGUACCUCGGAUCCUGUGUAAGCAAAUGGCUGUGGGAUUCAAAUUGUCUCAGCAGAGAAGGGGCUGCUGGAACAGCCAGAGCUCAGGGCAAGACAGGGGUAUUUCCCCUGUGGUUUUAUGAUAUCAGAUUGAGUUGUCAAGAUCUCACCACCCUCUGCCCUUAAACAACCGGACAAGGUGUAUUCAAGCCCAUAUUGCUAUGUGAUUAAAUACUAAGGAAAUACUUUAAAACUCUGGAGAAAGGAUGGCAUUUAGUUAAUUGUAUAGAGAAGGCAUUUAUAGAAAAGAUCUUUAUGAAAUGAUCAACACUGAGCUAAGGACAAGUAAGAGCAAGUCUGAAGGCAUGAGGCAUAAAGGAGGCACAGCACAGAAGUGUAGGUAGGGCCAUGCGGAGGCACCAACAUGUCCUCAAACCCAGGAUCAUCGUGUUCUGUCAACAUUACCUUACUUUUUUUGUGUCUUUUGCUUUCAGGACCUGACUCCAGUUUUCCUGGCCCAGGAAACAAAACAGGAAGACAGCCUGAUCUACCCUAGAGCACUGAAUGGUCAUUGAAACCGAGCUCAGGACAGCUCAACCUUGCCAAACUUCUUUCUCAGGUCUUCUGAAGAAGAAAUUCCUUUAGAGUGUUCCUCAGCCUCUCUGCAGUAUGCUUCUCUGGGUCAGGUUGUGAACAGAGUUGUUAGGAGCUUGUGUGGUAAAGCAGGCUGGCCAGCUGGGCCUGCUGGGGAUCCCUUAAAAUAACAUUUGUCUCAAGCCUUUUCACAGGCUUUUACUGGACCGAUUCAGUGUCUCAUUUAGGUGUGAUGCUCUAUGUUCAUUCAGCAAGUGGCUGGUGACAGCAAAACCUGUUGUGUGAUUAUAAGAUGGUUGUUCAUUCCUACAGCUGACAGCAGCACCACGGUGGCAUAUUCAGCCUUUAAGACUUGCUUUUCCCUGGGAGCUGCAAGGAUGCACUGAAGGGUGUCUAACAUUCUCCUGCAUCCAGAAUGAAUUAGGUAAUGGUGAUCCAGGUGAGGUGGACACCAUGAGACAGCCCCUUUCCAUAAGUACCAUGCACUUGACAGAAACAGGCGGGAGAGAGAACAGCCUUCAGCUCUCUCACCAUCAGAAAAGGCAGAAAAAGGCAAGGCAAAGAUAGUUUAUGUGCAGCUGAGGCAGCUCUCAGAACUGAAUGUAUCUGUGAUUUAAUAACACAUCUACACAGAGAGACACUUGUAAUAUUCACUGAGAGAAAGGCAGCAGAGCAGGAUGGGGCCACAACCAGCACACAGUGCAUUACUUCUGCAACCACAAACAGCUGAACUACCAGGUAUUUAUUUUUCUGUAUGCACAGUUGUUGGGAGAGAAUGAAAAUUAUUCUUUGACACUGCUGAUGAAGGCAUAGACAGGCCUGUGCUUCCCCCAGCUGCCGUGGUCCUGAUGAGAAACAGCUCACAAAUUCUAAUAAAUAGAAAAUAGAAAUAAAUACUUUAACUACAUGGCAUAAGGUUUUGAAUGGCUUUCUGAAUCGGAAAGUGCUGCUUGUACGUCUUCGUUACUUCUACACUCUGUAAUGCUGGCUCUACAAAAGGCAGAGACAAAGUGAGAUAGAUACCAUGAGGAUCGCAGCCACUACACUGGGAAACCAAGUAUCAGUGGUACAUCCAGAUUUAUGGUAGGGGAUGGCAGUAAAGCGAAAGCAAAACUGUUUGCACAGUCUGUGUUGUUGCCCAUUACUGUGUAUUUGGCCUUUUUUCUUGCUUAGCUACAGCUGAAGGAAUGGAAAAUUGUCCCUUAUAUACAGUAUUAGGAGCCACUUUUUGAUCGUAAGGUCAAUCAGACUAGUUUACCUGCUUGAGGUAUUUAUGGCACAAUCACUCAGUGUCUUUAAGGAAAGGUUAGAUACAUUUAUGGGAAAGGUCUUUUGCAGAAGCCUUCCUGUUUCAUAGAGGUCUUGGACAAAAUGACCCAGGAGGCCCCUUCCAAGUCUGUCAAAUGUGGUUCCUUGAUUGAUGCUGUUUCCCCCCCAAGUCUUCUGAAAACACCAAGCACUGUUAUAAAAUUUAAUAUGAUACACUAUAUAACUCUAACUCAAUGCCAUUUCCUUAUAGGAGAUGGUUAGCUGCUAGCACAGGAGCCUUGUGCAGGAGGAAGGAAAGAAGAAAGACAAAAUUGCAGUGCAGUUUCUCUGCCAAGGGAUAUCGACUAUAACAUUUACACUGUUCCUUACUGUGGACCCUCAUCUGUGCAGAAUAUCAUGUCAUGGAGGCAUAUAAGUAACCCUGACUGUAGUAUAUAUUUCUCCAGAAGAACCUAACAGGGCCUGAGGUGAUUUUGUGUGCUGUGCAAUAGGCAUUCCCUCAGUGCUGGAAAGCAAAUGGACACCCAGCUCUCCUUAUAAAUAACUUCUUGGUGCUGUAGUCAGCUGGGCAUAAUGUGGAGGCCAGAAACAGGAGUGUCCAGCCCCUAGCUCUACCCACAGGGCCUGUCCUCUGCCUGUGCUCUGCAACCCUUCUGUGGUUACAAAUGGCCAGAGUGAAGGCAACACAAAACAUUUCCAGGUCCACCAAACCAGUGACUGAAUCUGUAUCCUAUUGCUCACUAUUAUCCUUGUUGUUUUUCCAAUUUGAGGAGAGAUGUUUUAGCUUAAUGCUCCCUAAAUUGACUAUUUCUUUUUUGCCCUUCAAACUUAACAUAUUUAAAAGUUUAAGUCAACUGAAUUAGGAUUCACUCUCAAAACCAUUUUACUUUUUACUUUUUUAUUUUCACUCCAGCUGAUUUACUUAAAGGCCAAACUCCUCUUCCAAAAACCAACCCCCUGUCUUCUUGGGCAGCUCUGUCAGGAAAUAACACCACCCAUACACACACACUCCAAAGCCUUUUGAAGCCUCACAUAUGUGAGCUAUUCCAUUUCGCAGAGCAGACCAGGAUUAACUCCUUUAUUAACCUUCUAACCUCAUCCAUGAGAAGGAAAAACAGCCGAACCUCAUUUGGAGGCUUGCAGCCUUCUUUACCUAAACACUUGUGAGCUCAAACACCCUCAGAUGGGAGCAAAAUGAGGAUCAUUAAUGAGGAUUUCCCUAAGGAGCUCCCUGAUUUUGGACCCUCCCAUCAUGUUGCACUCAGUGUCAAUGGCUAUCCCUAAAAUCUUCUGUUUUCACUUGGAAAUGUUUUCCCAUUACCGUGAGGCUUGGGUCUAUUUGAAUCAUAUUUAUAGGGGCAAAUACUGAUCUUCUUGUCCUUCUCCACAUGUUGCAUCAAUGUAUUUUCCCUGAUUUCUACGUCAAAAAACAAGGCACUUUUAGCAAAUGACAAAUCUGACCUGGCUUGAAUCCUGGCAGCGCUACAAUUGCUCAUCCUUAGCGCUCACUUCAUCCUGGCAUCACAGUGCAGAGUAAGACACUCACGUCAGGAUAGCUCUUCUCACUGGAGUCACAAUGGUAAAAAUUAGCCUGGGUGAGUGACACGAGCAGAAAUUUCAAAGGCAGGAAAAUUUAUCUCCUGCUCUUUGUCUUACAGUGUGGUGCGUGUUAGUGGUUGGAAGAUUUAGCUUCCAAGCAUCCCGUAUAUAUAAAUCCUAGUGGACAACUGCUCUCCAGCUUCUCUUUUUUGAGCUCAGCAGCUGGAAUCUGCCAGGGAAUGAGGGCUGAGGUAAGGAUGGAGGAAAACUUUACUAUGGCCUUCAGGUGUUGGUCAAGGGUCAAGAUUAGGAAACAGCUAGAGCAGAACAAAACUCUCUCAGCUACGUCUCCUUACUGUGUUACAGGAGGUCAUGGCUAUUUGGCAUAAGGACUGUGAUUUUGGGGCCUGCCUCUCUGCUUUAGCUUAGACCAUUAACUGCUUUGAUGAUACAGUCCCUCUUGGGGUUUCUCCUUCUGAAAGAUUUAUUCUUGGUUUAACCCUAAUACAAAUGCUCCACUUUAGAUUUUAGGAGGCCAAAACACAAGGAGGAAGGCAAAAUACCUCUCAGGUUCCUGGUAAAGGCCUUCAAAUACCACUUUGAUGAGAACUUUCCAACUGCUCUGCUGAGUAAACAGACACGGAGUAAACAGCUCUAAUGUGCAGGGAUGGCCCUUACACCAGCAGGCAGAGAGGAAAAGGCGAUGGGAAGAGGAAAAGGCAGGCACUGAUGGAUCCAACUGAAUUUCUGCCACUUUUGAUCUUUGGAAAUGGGAAAACCCAUUCAGGGUCACAGAUUUCCAGACCGGGCUAUAUGCACCAUUACUUGUGCCACAAAGCAGAGAUGCUUUGCUUGGCCCAAAAAAAGAUGUUAUUGUGAGUUCUCUGGGGUGCAGGGACUUGAUUUCCCAGUUUUCAGUUAAUAAUUCAAUUAUUAUACAUAAAUAAUAGUAAUAAUAAUCAUAACAAUACCUGCCUUGCUAUUAUGUUGUACUCAGCCUUUGUGAUGCCUCUCUCACGAUAAAAUCUGUCUAUUAAACACUUUAAUUGAAACUCUUAAUAAAACAGAGCUAUUUUAGCUUGUGCAGUUACAUUCACAUCAUGAUCACAAAGCACUUUACAGAAACAAAUAGAAGUAACCAGCCUGAUUCUUGUGCAGGAGCAAACACCAUCAUUGUGCAUCUCAGUAGUAUGUAACAAAGCUGUCAUAUAGGCAAUGAAUUGUCCAACAUACCGUAUUUCGGGGUUUGUGCUGCAUCCAAAAAGGUUGGGGUUUGUCCUUAGGCUUGGUCUAAAAAUCUCUAAUGCCAUCCCAAGCGACACAGCAAGCGGGGAGUGGAUGGGCUCACCUCCUAGACAAGAAGAGCAGGCUGCAGCCAGGAGGGGUAGGGAACAGUCGCGCCUCAUUAUCAGGAGCCCUGGUUCAGAAGGAAAGAAGAAAAAAGGUUAUAAUUUUCCUGGUUUAGGAAAAAAAAAAAAAAAGCCAUGGAAUUCUUGAUGUGCCGUGGUGCUGAGUACUGAGCAGCCACCGUGGGGUCACCGAGAGAGGACAAGGCAAAGCCUGGUAAUGCAAGCGCUCACGUUAAAUGAUGCCUCCCGAGGUAUGGAAGGGGUCUCAGGCUUUGGGCCUUGUAAUAGGUAGUUCUGGAGCUCAGAGCCGGUGAAGUGCUUUGUUCCCCCUUGUAUAAUUGAUAAAUUACCAUUGUUAGUACUAAACAAUACUACCGAGCACAGAAUGGAAACACGCUAAUGCUUUAUCCAUCUUAAGCAAUUCUGCUCAUGUGCUCAUACUGUUCUUAAAUGUGCUAGAUAUUUGUUUGAUGAAACAAUAAGUUUUAGAAAAGGGAAAAAUAAGAACUUUAAAGAUAAUCAAAACCUUGACUCCGUACUUUACCACAGGCAGCUGUGAAUAAGCUUCAGUACUCUUUAUUUUUAACAUUCCAGAUAUGUAAUUUAAUGCAGGUCUAAUGACAGUCUCGAACGUACUGCUUUAAUCGAAAUUGUUCAAGCCCUGUUCUGUGACAAGGGCUCACAAGCUACCAGCAGGGUUGUCCAUUUUCCCCGCUUCUGUAAGGAAAAGAAAAGGGAGGGGAGGGGGACACUCUUGAACUUAUGUUGCUAUUGAUGUGUAAUAUACAAUAAAAAAACAGUUAAAUUUCAAUUACCCACAGGUAAUUAUAAUUUUAUUGUUUGACUGUGCCAUGGGGAUUUUUGUAAUUCCCCAGCCUAAUAAUUUUCUAUAAUUUUACAGGUUGUCAAAUAAACUAUUAAAGAUUAUCUUUGAAAAGGA
Neopsephotus bourkii (Bourke's parrot) is the source of this 5742-nucleotide long non-coding RNA. RefSeq lists it as uncharacterized. The record is from RefSeq and is a predicted model, not a curated record. NCBI's taxonomy places the organism in Eukaryota, Metazoa, Chordata, Aves, Psittaciformes, Psittacidae. The transcript has 2 exons.